GCCGGGAUGGGUGUGGGCGAGUAGAGGGUUGGAUCUCCAUUUUCUCCCAAAAAUGGAGGUAUAGCGUUUGACGCCCGCGGCUCAGCCGAAGGAGCACUGAGCGAGUUCAGCGAAAGCGUGCAAAAGGGAGUAAUCAAGAAGCGUUGCUGAUUAGACCUAUUCUCAGUGGGAAAUUGCGUAAAAGGAGCCUGACCCAGAGCUCGUCUCCUCUCUUGGAAGAUUCAUCCAUUUUGUCGCCCUUCAGUUGUAGUGGUGGUGGGGGUGUCGAACGCGCUCUAGCUGGGGAGAGGGUGUCUCUCUGACUCUCUCUUUCCCCCCCCCCCUUUAUUUUUUGAGGGGAAAUAAAGGGAAAUGACAGUUAAAUGAAUCCAGCUUCUUCCACUGACUAAGCUGCUUGGGAAAGUUACAGAUAGUGAUCACAUGACCCUGGGACAGUACAAUUGUCAUAAAUACAUGCCAGUUGAGGCAGAGAGGCCUGCAAGUCUCUGAGUUGUGUCGGAGAGAGCUGAAGAGAAUAAAAGCUGUUAUUACCAUCAGAAUGUGUGUUCUUCUUUCACCAUUGACUUGAGGACUCAACACUGGCGAUGAGGAUGGGAUGGCUUACAAGAUAAAGAAAGAAGACUUGUAAGGCUUACCCAAGGAGUCCUGGAGAAAAGGAAGACGGCGUUAAAUUCA
Crotalus tigris (Tiger rattlesnake) is the source of this 675-nucleotide long non-coding RNA. RefSeq lists it as uncharacterized. NCBI's taxonomy places the organism in Eukaryota, Metazoa, Chordata, Lepidosauria, Squamata, Viperidae. The record is from RefSeq and is a predicted model, not a curated record. The transcript is spliced from 3 exons.